CUCUCCCUGUGACAAGCGCCGGGCUAAGCACUUUACCCGGAUUAUCUCAUUUAAUCCUCACAGCAGCUAGAGGAAGCUUGGGAAGGUUAAGCAGCCAGCCCCAGGUCAGGGGAGCUUUGCGGGCGGAGCCAGCGCUGAGUCCCAACAGUCUCCCGUAACCGCUGGCUUCCCUCGGAGUCUCCUCACCGUGCAGAAUCCGCCCGCCUUCCCCCCACCCACACUUCUGUCUCUUCUGGCUGACAGUAACCCAGCACUUCCCCAGGGGUCUUCAAUCUCCAGGGUUACAGCCAGCAUUUACGGAGGACUUAGCGUGCACCACACUGAAACAGGAUGAGCGAGCUGGGCGCCUCCUCCUUUGUGCUGUGUCUGUCUCCAUCGCCUCUGGCUCAGCCCGUGGCUGCUCAGCUCUGCACACGAAUGCAUCUGUCCCGGGAGGAGCCCUGCACACAGGCCUCCUGGAGCUUGGCUCCCCCAAGCAGGGCAAGAAUCUGCAUGAAGAUUAAGAUACCCAGACCCACAACACUGGUACUCCAAAUGCACUCAACACCUCACCCUGGAGUUACGGGCUUUUGCCUAUGCUUGGACUUGGACUUGCUAACAACAUCACCAGCACAGCACCCAGGUUGUAGCUGAACAGGGAAGGAGGCAGGCAGGGACAGCCACCCAUCAUGAUCUCCUCAUUGUUUUUUAAAUAAAGAAGAUAUUCAUUUUAGCA
Molecule: long non-coding RNA, 715 nt
Filed under: Oryctolagus cuniculus (rabbit)
Lineage: Eukaryota; Metazoa; Chordata; Mammalia; Lagomorpha; Leporidae
Description: lncRNA (ENSOCUG00000035482.1)
Source: RNAcentral